UCCUCUCUUAGUAUUUUUGUUGGUAACAUGUUCAUGUGACCCUGCUGAAAGGAAGGAAAGAAGCAGCAGCAAACAGGAGGAGCUGCUUUUCUGUUUAACUUGCUCACAAUAGUAAAUGACUACACACAGUAGUUUUGUGUUUUUAUUUUACAAAGGCAAAAAAGCGAGAGAAUAACACCUUUAAAACACAGAGGAGCCUGCAACAUUUAGAGUUAUGCCCACUUCAGGCUCCGUCAGCCGCUGCUCCUCUGCAUGAAGAAGAGCCAGCUGAUGUGGUUCAGGGACCUGUGUGUGACACAGAGAGACUGUAUAAAGUCUUCUGCAGUUACUCUGUGACAACAGCACUUCUUCCUGAUUGGCUGAAGGCUUCACUGUGUAGCAGAUCAGUUAUCUCUCCCAGAAACUUGCUCUUGUAUUUUAAUUUCUUAUUUAUUGUUUAUUUUCCAUUCUACUCUUAUUUCAUUCCUACAUAUGCCUUUUUUUAUAUUGUCUUACGUUGUUUUUACAUUUCUCUUGAUGCCUUUUUAUACCUUAUGUAAAGCACUUUGAAUUACCUUCUUGUUGAAAUGUACUGUACAGCUGUACACCUCCAUCUACAGCUCAUUUUACACAUGGUCACCAACACUAUAGGUUUAAUUGCCAUCUGUAAAAUGUAAUAUUUAAUUUGUUUUCGCUCUCCAGAUGAUAUGAUAGCUCCUGUGUUUUAGAGCAGGAUACUGUAGGUGUCUCUAUAUGUCAGAUCUGAACUGCUUGAUGAGCAUCACUCUGGUCAUCUCCUGCAAUGACUCUGCACCCCAUCACUGGGGCUCUUUUUUAACUAAUGACUGGCAUGCAUUAAAUAAAUAAUAUGGUUUACUAUUAAGGUUAAUGAAACUAAAAUAAGACAAGAGUUAAAGCUUGAUGAUUAUCUUUAUUGAUUCAUCAAAUGUGUAGUAAAAUGCCUUUAAAGAGAGUGUCCCUUAGCAGUCAUCUUUACCCUGCCAUCAGUGUCAUCCUGCAUCAGAACUUGUGUAUUUUAAAUAGUGUUGAUUAACAUAUUGAGA
Molecule: long non-coding RNA, 1043 nt
Organism: Lates calcarifer (barramundi perch)
Lineage: Eukaryota; Metazoa; Chordata; Actinopteri; Centropomidae
Exons: 2
Source: RefSeq, a predicted model, not a curated record